RNAcentral lists this ribosomal RNA (1378 nucleotides) under Salmonella enterica subsp. enterica serovar Typhimurium. Its description in RNAcentral is "partial 23S ribosomal RNA". It matches the Rfam family "Bacterial large subunit ribosomal RNA", at positions 1574 to 2925 of the family's 2925-position model. Lineage: Bacteria; Pseudomonadati; Pseudomonadota; Gammaproteobacteria; Enterobacterales; Enterobacteriaceae. The record is from RNAcentral.
GCACUACGGUGCUGAAGCAACAAAUGCCCUGCUUCCAGGAAAAGCCUCUAAGCAUCAGGUAACAUCAAAUCGUACCCCAAACCGACACAGGUGGUCAGGUAGAGAAUACCAAGGCGCUUGAGAGAACUCGGGUGAAGGAACUAGGCAAAAUGGUGCCGUAACUUCGGGAGAAGGCACGCUGACACGUAGGUGAAGUGAUUUACUCACGGAGCUGAAGUCAGUCGAAGAUACCAGCUGGCUGCAACUGUUUAUUAAAAACACAGCACUGUGCAAACACGAAAGUGGACGUAUACGGUGUGACGCCUGCCCGGUGCCGGAAGGUUAAUUGAUGGGGUCAGCGCAAGCGAAGCUCCUGAUCGAAGCCCCGGUAAACGGCGGCCGUAACUAUAACGGUCCUAAGGUAGCGAAAUUCCUUGUCGGGUAAGUUCCGACCUGCACGAAUGGCGUAAUGAUGGCCAGGCUGUCUCCACCCGAGACUCAGUGAAAUUGAACUCGCUGUGAAGAUGCAGUGUACCCGCGGCAAGACGGAAAGACCCCGUGAACCUUUACUAUAGCUUGACACUGAACAUUGAGCCUUGAUGUGUAGGAUAGGUGGGAGGCUUUGAAGUGUGGACGCCAGUCUGCAUGGAGCCGACCUUGAAAUACCACCCUUUAAUGUUUGAUGUUCUAACGUGGACCCGUAAUCCGGGUUGCGGACAGUGUCUGGUGGGUAGUUUGACUGGGGCGGUCUCCUCCUAAAGAGUAACGGAGGAGCACGAAGGUUGGCUAAUCCUGGUCGGACAUCAGGAGGUUAGUGCAAUGGCAUAAGCCAGCUUGACUGCGAGCGUGACGGCGCGAGCAGGUGCGAAAGCAGGUCAUAGUGAUCCGGUGGUUCUGAAUGGAAGGGCCAUCGCUCAACGGAUAAAAGGUACUCCGGGGAUAACAGGCUGAUACCGCCCAAGAGUUCAUAUCGACGGCGGUGUUUGGCACCUCGAUGUCGGCUCAUCACAUCCUGGGGCUGAAGUAGGUCCCAAGGGUAUGGCUGUUCGCCAUUUAAAGUGGUACGCGAGCUGGGUUUAGAACGUCGUGAGACAGUUCGGUCCCUAUCUGCCGUGGGCGCUGGAGAACUGAGGGGGGCUGCUCCUAGUACGAGAGGACCGGAGUGGACGCAUCACUGGUGUUCGGGUUGUCAUGCCAAUGGCACUGCCCGGUAGCUAAAUGCGGAAGAGAUAAGUGCUGAAAGCAUCUAAGCACGAAACUUGCCCCGAGAUGAGUUCUCCCUGAGACUUAGAGUCUCCUGAAGGAACGUUGAAGACGACGACGUUGAUAGGCCGGGUGUGUAAGCGCAGCGAUGCGUUGAGCUAACCGGUACUAAUGAACCGUGAGGCUUAACCUUACA